AUAACCGCUGAAAGCAUCUAAGCGGGAAGCGAGCCCUGAGAUGAGUCUUCCCUGAUACUUUAAGUAUCCUAAAGGGUUGUUCGAGACUAGAACGUUGAUAGGCAGGGUGUGUAAGCGCUGUGAGGCGUUGAGCUAACCUGUACUAAUUGCCCGUGAGGCUUAACCAUACAACACCCAAAGGGUUUUG
RNAcentral lists this ribosomal RNA (187 nucleotides) under Vibrio cidicii. Its description in RNAcentral is "partial 23S ribosomal RNA". The stretch from base 1 to 167 matches the Rfam family "Bacterial large subunit ribosomal RNA", at positions 2764 to 2925 of the family's 2925-position model. Lineage: Bacteria; Pseudomonadati; Pseudomonadota; Gammaproteobacteria; Vibrionales; Vibrionaceae. The record is from RNAcentral.